GUAGGUGGCAAGCGUUGUCCGGAAUUAUUGGGGCGUAAAGCGCGCGCAGGCGGUUCUUUAAGUCUGAUGUGAAAGCCCACGGGCUCAACCGUGGAGGGUCAUUGGAAACUGGAGAACUUGAGUACAGAAGAGGAAAGCGGAAUUCCACGUGUAGCGGUGAAAUGCGUAGAGAUGUGGAGGGACACCAGUGGCGAAGGCGGCUUUCUGGUCUGUAACUGACGCUGAGGCGCGAAAGCGUGGGGAGCAAACAGGAUUAGAUACCCUGGUAGUCCACGCCGUAAACGAUGAGUGCUAAGUGUUAGGGGGUUUCCGCCCCUUAGUGCUGCAGCUAACGCAUUAAGCACUCCGCCUGGGGAGUACGGCCGCAAAGGCUG
This 374-nucleotide ribosomal RNA is filed under the name uncultured organism. RNAcentral's name for it is "partial 16S ribosomal RNA". It matches the Rfam family "Bacterial small subunit ribosomal RNA", at positions 527 to 896 of the family's 1533-position model. The record is from RNAcentral.